RNAcentral lists this ribosomal RNA (313 nucleotides) under uncultured bacterium. Its description in RNAcentral is "bacterial SSU rRNA". It matches the Rfam family "Bacterial small subunit ribosomal RNA", at positions 28 to 334 of the family's 1533-position model. The record is from RNAcentral.
AACGAACGCUGGCGGCGCGUCUUAAGCAUGCAAGUCGGACGGUAAGGAAGGAGCUUGCUUCUUCCCUAGAGUGGCGGACUGGUGAGGAACGCGUGGGUGACGCACCCUCCGGACGGGGAUAGCCGGUAGAAAUACCGGGUAAUACCGGAUAAGAGCGCCUCCUUGGAGGGAGGCGGAGAAAGCGGCUUCGGCCGCGCCGGAGGAACGGCCCGCGUGCUAUUAGCUAGUUGGCGGGGUAACGGCCCACCAAGGCGACGAUAGCUAUCCGGCCUGAGAGGGUGAACGGACACAUUGGGACUGAGAUACGGCCCAG